This 105-nucleotide non-coding RNA is filed under the name Janibacter melonis. RNAcentral describes it as "TPP sequence". It matches the Rfam family "TPP riboswitch aptamer (THI element)". From Rfam's summary of the family: Vitamin B(1) in its active form thiamin pyrophosphate (TPP) is an essential coenzyme that is synthesised by coupling of pyrimidine and thiazole moieties in bacteria. Lineage: Bacteria; Bacillati; Actinomycetota; Actinomycetes; Micrococcales; Intrasporangiaceae. The record is from Rfam by way of RNAcentral.
CCCGUACGACAGGGGAGCGCUGAGCAGCGCUGAGAGUGCGGGUAGCCGCAGACCCUCCGACCUGAUCCGGUUCGCACCGGCGUAGGGAGUCACGAAGAUGACCCG